This 251-nucleotide ribosomal RNA is filed under the name uncultured bacterium. RNAcentral's name for it is "partial 16S ribosomal RNA". It matches the Rfam family "Bacterial small subunit ribosomal RNA", at positions 524 to 776 of the family's 1533-position model. The record is from RNAcentral.
UACAGAGGGGCAAGCGUUGUUCGGAAUUACUGGGCGUAAAGGCGCGUAGGCGGCCUGCUAAGUCGAACGUGAAAUCCCCGGGCUCAACCCGGGAACUGCGUCCGAUACUGGUAGGCUUGAAUUCGGGAGAGGGAUGCGGAAUUCCAGGUGUAGCAGUGAAAUGCGUAGAUAUCAGGAGGAACACCGAUGGCGAAGGCAGGUCUCUGGGCUGAAACUGACGCUCAUGCACGAAAGCGUGGGGAGCAAACAGG